This 329-nucleotide unclassified non-coding RNA is filed under the name soil metagenome. RNAcentral describes it as "partial contains 5.8S ribosomal RNA, internal transcribed spacer 2, and large subunit ribosomal RNA". The stretch from base 1 to 120 matches the Rfam family "5.8S ribosomal RNA", at positions 35 to 154 of the family's 154-position model. The record is from RNAcentral.
GAUGAAGAACGUAGCGAAAUGCGAUAAGUAAUGUGAAUUGCAGAAUUCAGUGAAUCAUCGAAUCUUUGAACGCACAUUGCGCCCCCUGGUAUUCCGGGGGGCAUGCCUGUCCGAGCGUCAUUACAACCCUCAAGCUCAGCUUGGUGUUGGGCCCCGCCGCCCCGGCGGGCCCUAAAGUCAGUGGCGGUGCCGUCCGGCUCCGAGCGUAGUAAUUCUUCUCGCUCUGGAGGUCCGGUCGUGUGCUCGCCAGCAACCCCCAAUUUUUUUCAGGUUGAACUCGGAUCAGGUAGGGAUACCCGCUGAACUUAAGCAUAUCAAUAAGCGGAGGA